UAUGGUCAUAUCUUGUUAAAACAUCUGUUCUCGAACGAGCACCGAAGUUAAGCAACGUCGAAACUGGUCAGUACUUAGAUGGGUGACCGCUUAGGAAUACUAGGGG
Non-coding RNA from Acanthosepion pharaonis, 106 nucleotides. The record is from the annotation of a GenBank genome assembly. NCBI's taxonomy places the organism in Eukaryota, Metazoa, Mollusca, Cephalopoda, Sepiida, Sepiidae.